Oryza rufipogon (brownbeard rice) is the source of this 205-nucleotide microRNA precursor. It matches the Rfam family "MIR812 microRNA precursor family". The record is from Rfam. NCBI's taxonomy places the organism in Eukaryota, Viridiplantae, Streptophyta, Magnoliopsida, Poales, Poaceae.
AUAUUGUACUCCCUCCGUCCUAAAUAUUGUACUUUGAUCAUUCGUUUUAUUUGAAUUUUUUUUAAAAAAAAUUAAAAACAUAAGUCACGAGUAAAAUACUAUUUAUAUUUUAUUAUCUCAUAACAACAAAAAUGCUAAUUAUAAAAAAAUUUUAAAUAAGACGGACGAUCAAAGUUGAGCGUGGAAACUAAUAGCUGCACUUAUU